GUCCACGCCGUAAACGUUGGGCACUAGGUGUGGGUCUCAACCAACGAGAUCCGUGCCGCAGCUAACGCAUUAAGUGCCCCGCCUGGGGAGUACGGCCGCAAGGCUAAAACUCAAAGGAAUUGACGGGGGCCCGCACAAGCGGCGGAGCAUGUUGCUUAAUUCGAGGCAACGCGAAGAACCUUACCUGGGUUUGACAUGUAGAGAAAAGCCGUAGAGAUACGGUGUCCGCAAGGGUUCUACACAGGUGGUGCAUGGCUGUCGU
This 262-nucleotide ribosomal RNA is filed under the name uncultured bacterium. RNAcentral describes it as "partial 16S ribosomal RNA". It matches the Rfam family "Bacterial small subunit ribosomal RNA", at positions 793 to 1055 of the family's 1533-position model. The record is from RNAcentral.